Molecule: transfer RNA, 72 nt
Filed under: Plasmopara halstedii
Lineage: Eukaryota; Oomycota; Peronosporomycetes; Peronosporales; Peronosporaceae
Rfam family: tRNA
About the family: Transfer RNA (tRNA) molecules are approximately 80 nucleotides in length. Their secondary structure includes four short double-helical elements and three loops (D, anti-codon, and T loops).
Source: Rfam by way of RNAcentral
GCCCCUAUAGCUCAGUGGUAGAGCACCCGCUUAGUAAGCUGAAGGUCGGUAGUUCAAUCCUGCCUGGGGGCA